Molecule: ribosomal RNA, 85 nt
Filed under: Salmonella enterica subsp. enterica serovar Bovismorbificans
Lineage: Bacteria; Pseudomonadati; Pseudomonadota; Gammaproteobacteria; Enterobacterales; Enterobacteriaceae
Description: partial 16S ribosomal RNA
Rfam family: Bacterial small subunit ribosomal RNA
Source: RNAcentral
UUAAAUUGAAGAGUUUGAUCAUGGCUCAGAUUGAACGCUGGCGGCAGGCCUAACACAUGCAAGUCGAACGGUAGCACAGAUAGCU